UUAAAUUCUUCUAUUUCUAGACUUUGCACUUAAAAAGCAGUGUAUUGUUUGCAAGUUGGUUUUUAUGUUCCCAAUUUUGGAAAUGUUUUGAAUGUGUGGCAUAUGAAACUUCUUCAACAUCAGCUCUCAACGACAAUCCUGUCCAUUAUGUAAUGUAAUUGCAAGGGUUUUUUGAGAGUUUGCACUUUACUGUUAUUUAUCAAUUUAUGUACUGUAAUGUUAUCAAAGAUUAAUUUGAGAUAGUUUACAUCAACUCCCCUAGAAUUCUUUCACCUACAGCCCAAUCCCUGAAAAGAUUCACAUCACAACCCGAGUAAAAUCAAAAUCUUUUUCCUGCUCGAUGUCAAAAGCUGCCUUAUAACACCUGAUGUUUUAAUAUCAGAAACUAGGUUAUUCUAAAAUGUAUGUCUUGAAAAAGGUCAUUAAUGUUUUAUAAGGUGACUUGAUAGAGAAGAUUGUCUAGAUGACUUCCAUAUCUCACGACAAUUUAAUGCUGAUAUGAAUUUAUAUGUGGAUGACAUGCAGCUGUUCUUGCUUUUACCAGUAGUUCUUUGGAGAGAAUCCUGUUAAUUGUUAUAGUGUCUUCUGCCUGUACUUAAGACAACAAUCCUUGACAGAAGUUAAAUGUUCGAAUAGCGGUUUAGCAGAAAUGAGGAUGUCUGGUAGCUUGUUUAGACGCCGUGCCACGCUGUGAGUCAACUCAUUCUUCAACAGGCUCGAUUGGCUUUUAUGUGGGGGUUCAUAGCUGAUAUCAUGGACGAUAGCUCGCACUUACAGUAGUCACGUGCUGUGGAUUGUGAUGAUGGUGCUUAUAACUUCCUUUUUGAUAUUUGGAUGUGCCAUUUUUCUUGGGAUAUUUGAUUAGUCAUAAUAUUUUUGAUGCGGACAUCCAUUUAUUAUUUAUUUUCUAUUUGAACUAUUAGUUAUAUUUUAUUUGGACUAUUGUUUAUGCUUUUAUUAUUGGGCUUG
RNAcentral lists this long non-coding RNA (969 nucleotides) under Olea europaea subsp. europaea. Lineage: Eukaryota; Viridiplantae; Streptophyta; Magnoliopsida; Lamiales; Oleaceae. The record is from RNAcentral.